GACGAACGCUGGCGGCGUGCCUAAUACAUGCAAGUAGAACGCUGAAGAGAGGAGCUUGCUCUUCUUGGAUGAGUUGCGAACGGGUGAGUAACGCGUAGGUAACCUGCCUGGUAGCGGGGGAUAACUAUUGGAAACGAUAGCUAAUACCGCAUAAAAUUGAUUAUUGCAUGAUAAUUAAUUGAAAGAUGCAACUGCAUCACUACCAGAUGGACCUGCGUUGUAUUAGCUAGUUGGUGAGGUAACGGCUCACCAAGGCGACGAUACAUGGCCGACCUGAGAGGGUGAUCGGCCACACUGGGACUGAGACACGGCCCAGACUCCUACGGGAGGCAGCAGUAGGGAAUCUUCGGCAAUGGGGGGAACCCUGACCGAGCAACGCCGCGUGAGUGAAGAAGGGUUUCGGAUCGUAAAGCUCUGUUGUAAGAGAAGAACGGGUGUGAGAGUGGAAAGUUCACACUGUGACGGUAUCUUACCAGAAAGGGACGGCUAACUACGUG
This 497-nucleotide ribosomal RNA is filed under the name uncultured bacterium. RNAcentral describes it as "partial 16S ribosomal RNA". It matches the Rfam family "Bacterial small subunit ribosomal RNA", at positions 28 to 507 of the family's 1533-position model. The record is from RNAcentral.